RNAcentral lists this unclassified non-coding RNA (240 nucleotides) under soil metagenome. RNAcentral's name for it is "partial contains 5.8S ribosomal RNA, internal transcribed spacer 2, and large subunit ribosomal RNA". The record is from RNAcentral.
AACAUCGCGCACCUGCGGGAACCUGCGGAAGGAUCAUUACCGAGUAAUCCUGCUUGCAGGAACUCCCACCCUUGUGUAUUGGCAGUUGCUUCGGCGAGACGCUGGAAACAGCCACUGGAGAUCUGAAUCGGAUCUCCCAGUGCGGGCUCGCCGAAGAUGCAUACUCUAGACUGUGUAUGGUCAGAAUAUCAAGCAAAUAUAUCAAAACUUUUAACAACGGAUCUCAGAUCGGAAGAGCAC